Molecule: transfer RNA, 76 nt
Filed under: Candidatus Liberibacter africanus
Lineage: Bacteria; Pseudomonadati; Pseudomonadota; Alphaproteobacteria; Hyphomicrobiales; Rhizobiaceae
Also listed under: 2 other names
Description: tRNA-Ala
Rfam family: tRNA
About the family: Transfer RNA (tRNA) molecules are approximately 80 nucleotides in length. Their secondary structure includes four short double-helical elements and three loops (D, anti-codon, and T loops).
Source: RNAcentral
GGGGCCGUAGCUCAGCUGGUAGAGCGCCUGCUUUGCAAGCAGGAUGUCAGCGGUUCGACUCCGCUCGGCUCCACCA